Triticum urartu is the source of this 1951-nucleotide non-coding RNA. Lineage: Eukaryota; Viridiplantae; Streptophyta; Magnoliopsida; Poales; Poaceae. The record is from RefSeq and is a predicted model, not a curated record.
CUGUCGAUGCCCCACCUCCACCUCAUCUCUCUGGCUCCCGUCGGCGCCCAACUCCCACCUUCUCCCCCGUCUCCGGCCGCCCCCCAUCCCCACCUUCUUCUCCUGUCUCAGGCCACCGCCCAACCCCCACCUUCUCCACCAUCUCUGGCCGCCGCCCCAUCCCCACCUUCUUCCCUGUCUCAGGCCACCGCCCAACCCCCACCUUCUCCACCAUCUCCGGUCGCCGCCCCAUCCCCACCUUCUUCCCCAAAUCCGCCCGCCGCCCCGCCUCCACCAUCUUCGGGCCUCAGGAAGCCGCAUGUGCCCGCCCCCCGGACAUGGCGCCCGCGGCCAACCUCCUGGAUCUCGCCCAUGGUUGCAGGGGCCCGGCGCGGCGGGGAAGUGUGGAGGCGCAAGAUGCUCCACGACCGAGGUAGGCGCACCCCGGUGCUCGCCAUGGCUGAAGACGGCCUCCAACCCGUGGGCCCAAAGCAGCCAAUCUUGCCGCUUCACCUAGGUGCGCCCUAGCCGAUCACAGCCACUGCCGCAGGCCGUUCAACGCCACCUCCGCAGGCCGUUCAUCCCAAAAAAACAAUCUGGAUCCUGCUGGUUCCCACCAGCAACGCUCGUUCGAGCAUGUUGUCGCUCUCCUGCUGCAGCGUGGCUCAGCUACUGCACUUGGUGGAGUACAUGAAUUGGACUGACGAGAAGAUGGAUUCUUGGUAUAUAAAAGCCUGCUAGAGGAGUCACAGGGUUGAGGACCUCCUGCUUAACAGUACAACUUCUUGUUUUGUGGCCGGUCACUCAAGGAGCUGAGUGCAGGCCGCAGUAAGUACAUGAGUACUAAUAUUAGGAUAUGUGUGGUCCCAGUAAGUAUAUGAGUACUAAUUAGCAAGUUUGAUGAAAAUCUCAGCUUGUACUGAUACAUUCCAAAAAAGUGUUGUGUGUUUUCAGGAAAAAACAACUGAUGUCGUCGGCCGUUCUUUGCCAUCUACUAAAGCAACAGGAGGGUGAGGAUCUUCAUCUCGUCAGUACAACUACACCAUCCACCGCCGUUCAUGAGAAGAGCUACGUGCAGGCCACUCCGUGCUCUGCCUUGGAUUUUUCAAUGAUCAGGUUGUCAUCGUCCUACCCCACGACAAUCGUACUGGUUCAUGCGCCAUUGUCGUCGGUCUUUCUUCGGCUGGAUAUAGGGAGUGGCCCCAGGGAGCCCCUUCAUCAGUGGUUCAUUGGUCUCUCAAGUAUGAAGGUGCAUCUAAUGAAGUGCAGGUCACUUCUGAUGUGCCAAAUGGCGCGUGUGUGCGUGUUGUGGGCUUGUCGUGUGCGUCCGCUAGUGCAUGCAUGGGUGCCUCCUGUGGCAUGCGAGCAUGUGUGCUGAUGUUGAUACCUAAACUAAAUGGUUUCCAAGAUAUGUACUGCAAGGAAAAAUUCAUCAGUACUAGUGUGCCCUUUAUGCGGAGGUUUGAAGAUCAUCGUGGAGCAAGUUGAAGAGAUUAGUUUCGUGGAAAUAAAUGUGAUCUUUUGGUCAGGAUUUUGCAUGAUCCAUAGCCAUCGGUGGCAACAGGCGAGCAGUUCAAGGCCUACUGCGUGAGUCGUCCAUUGUCUUCUAUGCGUGAGCUUGUUGUCUCUACACAUAUAGCAUCAGAGUAUCUCCUCCCCUUGCCGCACACACAUGACGGGCGGUCAAGCUAGUGUUGUUUGCGAUUACUGGUCAUGACUCUUACGUUGUCAUUGGACAAAGAAUUUCAUUUUCCUUAACACUCGGUAAGGAAAAUGAUCGUUCAACUUGAAUUAUGUUUUGGACUGAUUGUUCAAGUUCUUUCGUAUAGAAGAUUCAGAAAGUUUUGUUCCUGAAAAUGCACUUAUUUGGAGUAUGCCAAUAUAUAUGUAUUUCUGAAUUUCGCUCUUGAAUAACAGUUCAACAUGUAUUACGCCAUCAAUUCAUAAUGGAAAGGCAGCAAACAGUUCGAUA